UCACUGGGUAUGAAACAUCUAAACCAGCAAAGGACAAUGUCAUGGUCUGUGAACAGAUUCACCAGUGCCUCUUGUCCUGUGGACAUUUCAGUACAGUAACCUGUAUUUUCAUUACCAUUUGCUAGGUAAGAAGAUAACAAGAAAUCAAAAAGAACGAGAAGAGAAGAAGAGACCCAAGCAUCCAGUGAGAAAGAUGACCCAGGUCCGGAAGCAAGAAGUGGCAGGAGCAUUUAUAUGAGAAUAUUCAACUCUGUUAGCCAAAUCUACAUCUGAGGAAGUGACACUAUGUGUUAUGACCAUUGUUGCAUCGAUAGUGAAUGGCAGCAUUUAAGAUGAAUUUCAAA
Molecule: long non-coding RNA, 344 nt
Filed under: Macaca mulatta (Rhesus monkey)
Lineage: Eukaryota; Metazoa; Chordata; Mammalia; Primates; Cercopithecidae
Description: lncRNA (ENSMMUG00000052028.1)
Source: RNAcentral